CAGCACCUCAAGUGGUCAGGAUGAUUAUUGGGCCUAAAGCAUCGGUAGCCGGCUCUGUAAGUUUUCGGUUAAAUCUGUACGCUCAACGUACAGGCUGCCGGGAAUACUGCAGAGCUAGGGAGUGGGAGAGGUAGACGGUACUCGGUAGGAAGGGGUAAAAUCCUUUGAUCUAUUGAUGACCACCUGUGGCGAAGGCGGUCUACCAGAACACGUCCGACGGUGAGGGAUGAAAGCUGGGGGAGCAAACUGGAUUAGAUACCCGAGUAGUCC
Molecule: ribosomal RNA, 270 nt
Filed under: uncultured archaeon
Lineage: Archaea
Description: partial 16S ribosomal RNA
Rfam family: Archaeal small subunit ribosomal RNA
Source: RNAcentral